RNAcentral lists this ribosomal RNA (498 nucleotides) under uncultured bacterium. RNAcentral's name for it is "partial 16S ribosomal RNA". It matches the Rfam family "Bacterial small subunit ribosomal RNA", at positions 30 to 523 of the family's 1533-position model. The record is from RNAcentral.
AUUGAACGCUGGCGGCAUGCUUUACACAUGCAAGUCGAACGGUAACAGGCCGCAAGGUGCUGACGAGUGGCGAACGGGUGAGUAAUGCAUCGGAACGUGCCCAGUCGUGGGGGAUAACGCAGCGAAAGCUGUGCUAAUACCGCAUACGAUCUAUGGAUGAAAGCGGGGGACCGUAAGGCCUCGCGCGAUUGGAGCGGCCGAUGUCAGAUUAGGUAGUUGGUGGGGUAAAGGCUCACCAAGCCAACGAUCUGUAGCUGGUCUGAGAGGACGACCAGCCACACUGGGACUGAGACACGGCCCAGACUCCUACGGGAGGCAGCAGUGGGGAAUUUUGGACAAUGGGCGCAAGCCUGAUCCAGCAAUGCCGCGUGCAGGAAGAAGGCCUUCGGGUUGUAAACUGCUUUUGUACGGAACGAAACGGUCUGGGUUAAUACCUCGGGCUAAUGACGGUACCGUAAGAAUAAGCACCGGCUAACUACGUGCCAGCCGCCGCGGUAA